CGCUCCUCAGCUGUCAGCGACUCUUGUAGCCGGCCGGCUGCCUAGGUGUGCCCCCCCGACCCUACCGGAGACACCAGCAUGGUGCGCGCCAGCACCGUGGGGGCGCAUCUCCCCGCGUCCGGCUUGGACAUCUUCGGGGACCUGAGGAAGAUGAACAAGCGCCAGCGGCAGCAUGGAGCCAGCCUUUCACAGGGGCGACCUUCUGUUCCUAACGAAUUUCCGGGAAGACCCCAUUAGAGCUGGAGAAAUCGUUGUUUUCAAAGUCGAAGGACGAGACAUCCCAAUAGUUCACAGAGUAAUCAAAGUUCACGAAAAAGACAAUGGAGAUAUCAAAUUUCUGACUAAAGGAGAUAAUAAUGAAGUUGAUGAUAGAGGCUUG
Odocoileus virginianus texanus is the source of this 379-nucleotide non-coding RNA. The record is from RefSeq and is a predicted model, not a curated record. Lineage: Eukaryota; Metazoa; Chordata; Mammalia; Artiodactyla; Cervidae.